Molecule: ribosomal RNA, 253 nt
Filed under: uncultured bacterium
Lineage: Bacteria
Description: partial 16S ribosomal RNA
Rfam family: Bacterial small subunit ribosomal RNA
Source: RNAcentral
UACGGAGGGGGCGAGCGUUAUUCGGAAUUAUUGGGCGUAAAGGGCGCGUAGGCGGCUUGAUGUGUCAAAGGUGAAAUCCCUCGGCUCAACUGAGGAACUGCCUUUGAAACUGUCUGGCUUGAGGCCGGGAGAGGGUAGCGGAAUUCCCAGUGUAGCGGUGAAAUGCGUAGAUACUGGGAGGAACACCGGUGGCGAAGGCGGCUACCUGGACCGGUUCUGACGCUGAUGCGCGAAAGCAUGGGGAGCGAACGGG